GUGCCAGGAGCUGCGUUUUCG
This 21-nucleotide microRNA is filed under the name Panagrellus redivivus. Its description in RNAcentral is "prd-miR-277-5p". Its record names the gene prd-miR-277-5p. Lineage: Eukaryota; Metazoa; Nematoda; Chromadorea; Rhabditida; Panagrolaimidae. The record is from miRBase by way of RNAcentral.